UACGUAGGGUGCGAGCGUUAAUCGGAAUUACUGGGCGUAAAGGGCUCGUAGGUGGCCAACUAAGUCAGACGUGAAAUCCCUCGGCUUAACCGGGGAACUGCGUCUGAUACUGGUUGGCUUGAGUUUGGGAGAGGGAUGCGGAAUUCCAGGUGUAGCGGUGAAAUGCGUAGAUAUCUGGAGGAACACCGGUGGCGAAGGCGGCAUCCUGGACCAACACUGACGCUGAGGAGCGAAAGCCAGGGGAGCAAACGGG
RNAcentral lists this ribosomal RNA (253 nucleotides) under uncultured prokaryote. Its description in RNAcentral is "partial 16S ribosomal RNA". It matches the Rfam family "Bacterial small subunit ribosomal RNA", at positions 524 to 776 of the family's 1533-position model. The record is from RNAcentral.